Molecule: long non-coding RNA, 379 nt
Filed under: Brassica napus (rape)
Lineage: Eukaryota; Viridiplantae; Streptophyta; Magnoliopsida; Brassicales; Brassicaceae
Description: long non-coding RNA (BNAP_LNC013217)
Source: RNAcentral
GAUUGAGGUGAAUGAAUGUUUGAAAGUUUAAAUGUUUGAGCAUAUGUAGAUUGAAAGCCAAACUAGAUUGAAUGAAUGAAUAUUUGAAUUUGAGCAUGUGGAUGUGCAAAAGAAAAUUAGAGACUAAAUAAUUAAAAGUUUGGAGAUUUAAUGGUUGAAUGAAUAGUUUUGAGAUUUGGCAAACCAAUGAUUUUUGAAUUGGAGAAUGAUUUGGGAGAACUUUUUUUUUUUUGGAUAUUGAAUGUUUUUGUUAGUUUCAGUUGUGAUUGAAUGUUUGUUGUUUUCGGAUAUUCAGAGGAUCGAGAAAAUGACAGGCCGUAAACAAUGUGUAGGGAAAAAACACCAUAAGCGAAGAGGUUGUCCAAAGAAACAUUUCUCC